AUUUGUGGGCCUGUUUGGAAGAAUACUGAAGGCCAAUUAUCUUUCUUAAGACACGCUGUUACAGCAUCACCUGAUGUAUUUACAUUUUCACAUUGUACAAGGAAGCUGGCACACACUGAUUCACUUGAUCUUUCAAAUGUUCAUGGAAACGAGGCAUGGAUUUGUUUAGACCUUCUUGAGGUUUUAUGUCAACUAGCCGAGAGGGGCCAUCUUACCUCUAUUCGCUUG
Molecule: unclassified non-coding RNA, 228 nt
Filed under: Hevea brasiliensis (rubber tree)
Lineage: Eukaryota; Viridiplantae; Streptophyta; Magnoliopsida; Malpighiales; Euphorbiaceae
Source: RNAcentral